RNAcentral lists this ribosomal RNA (458 nucleotides) under uncultured bacterium. RNAcentral describes it as "bacterial SSU rRNA". It matches the Rfam family "Bacterial small subunit ribosomal RNA", at positions 335 to 790 of the family's 1533-position model. The record is from RNAcentral.
ACUCCUACGGGAGGCAGCAGUGGGAAUAUUGCACAAUGGGGGAAACCCUGAUGCAGCCAUGCCGCGUGUGUGAAGAAGGCCUUGGGUUGUAAAGCACUUUCAGUAGGGAGGAAGGUAGUGUAGUUAACACCUGCACUAUUUGACGUUACCUACAGAAGAAGCACCGGCUAACUCCGUGCCAGCAGCCGCGGUAAUACGGAGGGUGCGAGCGUUAAUCGGAAUUACUGGGCGUAAAGCGCAUGCAGGCGGCCUGUUAAGUCAGAUGUGAAAGCCCGGGGCUUAACCUCGGAAUUGCAUUUGAAACUGGCAGGCUAGAGUCUUGUAGAGGGGUAGAAUUUGAGGUGUAGCGGUGAAAUGCGUAGAGAUCUGAAGGAAUACCAGUGGCGAAGGCGGCCCCCUGGACAAAAGCUGACGCUCAGAUGCGAAAGCGUGGGAGCAAACAGGAUUAGAUACCCCGU